GGUUGAGCCUUAUGGCUCCGAUACUGGGAGACGUGGUCGUAAGACUCCUCGGGAGUCAGAGACUCUCGAGGAGCGAGAAAGGAAGCGGCUGCGGGACUUAUUUGCAGAACCAUCUGACGAGGACUCCUUUGAGGGUUUUACCGAGAGAAUGGAGGAAGAGAUGGUUAGCUCAGAGGAGGAUGACAUGGAAUGGACUCGUGUGAGGGAGGAUUUGGGUGCCACCGGCAAUACUAGUAUGGAAGGCGAUUGGGGACCUUCAGGAUUAGACCCGUGGACAAGUUGGAGGGAUGGAACGGGAUCCACAGCUGGGGAUGCUGUGGGGCGUAGUCAAAGGUGUUUCAGCUCUGAUGAGGAGGAUGAUGAUGAGACACCUGGAAUUAGGGUAACAGCUGAUAGCGAUGAGGAGUUGUAAACUGGCAUAAAAUGGGGUUUAGAAUCCAGGGCUAAUUGCGUUGGGCAAGGUAAUCUGGACGAACGCUUGGGCUCUGGUUGGGAAUUUCCUGAAGACGGGUGUGAUUCGUUUGCUGAAUACCUUGGACCUCCGUCGUCUUUUUGACGGACGCUAAUUGCCUACUCUGGACUGACUGACUGACUGACUGGCUGACUGACUGACUAUGACCUCGGACUAUCCUUCCUGUGGCUAUCGUUGGAACUGGUGAACUACAAACAUCUGUACCUGGCUUACGACCUUCGGACCGGAUUGGGACCUCGCUGACCGCUGCUGCCCCUGAUUGAUGUGUUUGAACUCGGAGAUUGUUUGCUGCUCGGAGGAGUAACUUCUUAGUUACUCAAUCACAGCUUUUGGUUGCAGAGAAGUAUCUGCUGCCAGUUAUUUGUGUUUCUUUGAACCUUUGUUUACCAUCUUCUGUUUGUUUAUAGUCCCAGGCUGAAGUAAGCAUUUUUGGUUUAACCCGGAUUAAACUCCAGUUUAAUCCGGUUUAUCUUUUGAACGUUUUUUAGUUCCUUUUUACUUUGAAGGCCAGUGUUUGCCUUGCCCUUUGUCUUUUACGGGCAUUUUUGGUUCUGUAACUUUAAUAAACUGUGUUGAAUCUUA
Molecule: long non-coding RNA, 1054 nt
Organism: Anolis carolinensis (green anole)
Lineage: Eukaryota; Metazoa; Chordata; Lepidosauria; Squamata; Anolidae
Exons: 2
Source: RefSeq, a predicted model, not a curated record